This 468-nucleotide ribosomal RNA is filed under the name uncultured bacterium. RNAcentral's name for it is "partial 16S ribosomal RNA". It matches the Rfam family "Bacterial small subunit ribosomal RNA", at positions 28 to 507 of the family's 1533-position model. The record is from RNAcentral.
GACGAACGCUGGCGGCGUGCUUAACACAUGCAAGUCGAACGGAAAGGCCCUGCUUUUGUGGGGUGCUUGAGUGGCGAACGGGUGAGUAACACGUGAGUAAACUGCCCUUGACUUUGGGAUAACUUCAGGAAACUGGGGCUCAUAUCGGAUAGGAGCUCCUGCUGCAUGGUGGGGGUUGGAAAGUUUCGGCGGUUGGGGAUGGACUCGCGGCUUAUCAGCUUGUUGGUGGGGUAGUGGCUUACCAAGGCUUUGACGGGUAGCCGGCCUGGGAGGGUGACCGGCCACAUUGGGACUGAGAGACGGCCCAGACUCCUACGGGAGGCAGCAGUGGAGAAUAUUGCACAAUGGGCGGAAGCCUGAUGCAGCAACGCCGCGUGCGGGAUGACGGCCUUCGGGUUGUAAACCGCUUUCGCCUGUGACGAAGCGUGAGUGACGGUAAUGGGUAAAGAAGCACCGGCUAACUACGUG